UUUUAAUCUCCACGAGAAUCAUCAAGGAUUCUGAGCAACAACUCUAUUAGACAUUGACUUGGAGGAUGAAGAUUGGCCUGAACUACUAACUGGCUUUUGGUAUCAUAACCCAGCACAUAUAUUUCGUCAACCAGAAAAAGAACAAAGAUCCAUGCCUGCCCCAACAACAAUGCACCAACCACCACCUGCAGCCAAGGAGAAACUUCUGUAACCUGGAACACUUGUCCUUUUCCAGAGAACUUUAAAAAAUAAAAACCUUCUCAAUUUCCUCCAAAAACUGAAUAAAAACUGACCAUCCCUUUGUCUCUUCA
Leopardus geoffroyi (Geoffroy's cat) is the source of this 311-nucleotide long non-coding RNA. RefSeq lists it as uncharacterized. The transcript is spliced from 2 exons. NCBI's taxonomy places the organism in Eukaryota, Metazoa, Chordata, Mammalia, Carnivora, Felidae. The record is from RefSeq and is a predicted model, not a curated record.